UGGCAUAUUGGCACAGACCUAAGACAUUGAUUAACAUCUGAAGCAUAAUGUGCUACCUGAAGCUCCAAACAAAUUUUCCAAAGCACAAAAUAAAAACUUCUCAAAAGAUGCGAUCUAGCUACAAUUAAUUGCAAGUUGUAAUGAGAAAGAAAAAUUCUUUAAGCAUGCAAGAAAAAACCGAGAUUGAGAACUGAAAUGUAGAGUAAACCUCCAUCUAAAGCUAGAUCAAUAGCACAGAAGCACCAUCUGUCUCAAGUGGGUGGGUCAAGCGUUUUCAUGUUAAAUAAUAAAUUCAUAUUCAAACCAAUGGCAAUGGAAAAUAUUGCAAGUCUAGUGAAAGAAAUUAACCCAAUGGGGAAUGUUUCUGCACAUUAAGUUUGUUCCUGGGAAUAGAAUUCAGGAUUUCUCUAUCUGGAAGUGCCAUUUUCACCCAUUGAUCACUGCAACAAAUGAAUGCAAUUAGAAUCCUAAAAUUGGAACCUUUGAAUUGUGAGGGAAUUCCAUAUCCGAGUGAAAAAAAAAAAAAAAUCAAAACACCAUAGUCCUUUAGUUUGUUCACAUGCCUAUCCAAAAAGCUACCUGCAAACAAACACACUUUGCUUGAACAACAAACAACAUUGAAGCCUCCAAUUUCUGUUUCCUCCUUUUUUUCCCCUUUCUAAGCAAAAGCAUGGAUUCCAAAUAAAUCAAUUGCAAAGAUGGACGGCGCGUAAGGAUAGGUAAUGCAGAAAAGCGAAAAGAAGAGAGAGACGGAGAACAAUCGCCGACCACUUUGGGAUGGACAAUGCGCAAGAUAAAGGGAUUAAAGGACAGGUGCUAACGUGUGCAGUGGUGUAGUUUAUUGCCGUGGCGGUAUUCGCUGUAGGACAGAUUCUGA
RNAcentral lists this long non-coding RNA (877 nucleotides) under Manihot esculenta (cassava). RNAcentral's name for it is "long non-coding RNA (MESC_LNC001416)". The record is from RNAcentral. Lineage: Eukaryota; Viridiplantae; Streptophyta; Magnoliopsida; Malpighiales; Euphorbiaceae.